RNAcentral lists this ribosomal RNA (118 nucleotides) under Lepisosteus oculatus (spotted gar). The record is from RNAcentral. Lineage: Eukaryota; Metazoa; Chordata; Actinopteri; Semionotiformes; Lepisosteidae.
GCCAGCAGCCAUAUCACCCUGAAACUCACAACUGAUAAUCUACUGAAGCUCAGCAGGAAUGAGCCUGGUCAGUACCUGGUUGAGAGACUUCCUGGGAAAGCUAAGGUUGAUGCUGGAA